GUGAGGAAUAUUGGACAAUGGGCGCAAGCCUGAUCCAGCAAUGCCGCGUGGGUGAAGAAGGUCUUCGGAUCGUAAAGCCCUUUCGACAGGGACGAUGAUGACGGUACCUGUAGAAGAAGCCCCGGCUAACUUCGUGCCAGCAGCCGCGGUAAUACGAAGGGGGCUAGCGUUACUCGGAAUUACUGGGCGUAAAGGGCGCGUAGGCGGCUCUGUUAGUCAGGCGUGAAAUUCCUGGGCUUAACCUGGGGACGGCGCUUGAUACUGCAGGGCUUGAGGCCGAGAGAGGGUGGUGGAAUUCCCAGUGUAGAGGUGAAAUUCGUAGAUAUUGGGAAGAACACCGGUGGCGAAGGCGACCACCUGGCUCGGUUCUGACGCUGAGGCGCGACAGCGUGGGGAGCAAACAGGAUUAGAUACCCUAGUAGUCC
This 425-nucleotide ribosomal RNA is filed under the name uncultured bacterium. Its description in RNAcentral is "partial 16S ribosomal RNA". It matches the Rfam family "Bacterial small subunit ribosomal RNA", at positions 354 to 796 of the family's 1533-position model. The record is from RNAcentral.